GCUGGGGUGGUGUAGUGGUUAGCACAUCUGCCUAGUGAGCAGGAGACCCAGGUUUGAAUCCCGGCCUUUGUA
Non-coding RNA from Schistocerca cancellata (South American locust), 72 nucleotides. NCBI's taxonomy places the organism in Eukaryota, Metazoa, Arthropoda, Insecta, Orthoptera, Acrididae. The record is from the annotation of a RefSeq genome assembly.